This 471-nucleotide ribosomal RNA is filed under the name uncultured bacterium. RNAcentral describes it as "partial 16S ribosomal RNA". It matches the Rfam family "Bacterial small subunit ribosomal RNA", at positions 29 to 507 of the family's 1533-position model. The record is from RNAcentral.
ACGCACGCUGGCGGCGUGCUUAACCCAUGCAAGUCGAACGCUGAAGCUUGGUGCUUGCCCUGGGUGGAUGAGUGGCGAACGGGUGAGUAAUACGUGAGUAACCUGCCCUUGACUCUGGGAUAAGCCUGGGAAACUGGGUCUAAUACUGGAUACGACAUGUCACCGCAUGGUGGUGUGUGGAAAGGGUUUUACUGGUUUUGGAUGGGCUCACGGCCUAUCAGCUUGUUGGUGGGGUAAUGGCUCACCAAGGCGACGACGGGUAGCCGGCCUGAGAGGGUGACCGGCCACACUGGGACUGAGACACGGCCCAGACUCCUACGGGAGGCAGCAGUGGGGAAUAUUGCACAAUGGGCGGAAGCCUGAUGCAGCGACGCCGCGUGAGGGAUGACGGCCUUCGGGUUGUAAACCUCUUUCAGCACGGAAGAAGCGAAAGUGACGGUACGUGCAGAAGAAGCGCCGGCUAACUACGUG